UUUAUGGAGAGUUUGAUCCUGGCUCAGGAUGAACGCUGGCGGCGUGCCUAAUACAUGCAAGUCGAGCGAACAGAUAAGGAGCUUGCUCCUUUGACGUUAGCGGCGGACGGGUGAGUAACACGUGGGUAACCUACCUAUAAGACUGGAAUAACUCCGGGAAACCGGGGCUAAUGCCGGAUAACAUGUUGAACCGCAUGGUUCUACAGUGAAAGACGGUCUUGCUGUCACUUAUAGAUGGACCCGCGCCGUAUUAGCUAGUUGGUGGGGUAACGGCCUACCAAGGCGACGAUACGUAGCCGACCUGAGAGGGUGA
This 313-nucleotide ribosomal RNA is filed under the name Staphylococcus pseudintermedius. RNAcentral's name for it is "bacterial SSU rRNA". It matches the Rfam family "Bacterial small subunit ribosomal RNA", at positions 1 to 303 of the family's 1533-position model. Lineage: Bacteria; Bacillati; Bacillota; Bacilli; Caryophanales; Staphylococcaceae. The record is from RNAcentral.